UACAGAGGUCUCAAGCGUUGUUCGGAAUUACUGGGCGUAAAGGGUGCGUAGGCGGUGCGGGCAGUCAAAUGUGUAAUCCAGGGGCUCAACCCCUGAACUGCGCUUGAUACUUCCGCGCUCGAGCUUUGGAGAGGAGUCUGGAAUUCUCGGUGUAGCAGUGAAAUGCGUGGAUAUCGAGAAGAACACUUAGGGCGUAGGCAAGACUCUGGACAAAUGCUGACGCUCAUGCACGAAGGCUAGGGUAGCGAACGGG
RNAcentral lists this ribosomal RNA (253 nucleotides) under uncultured bacterium. Its description in RNAcentral is "partial 16S ribosomal RNA". It matches the Rfam family "Bacterial small subunit ribosomal RNA", at positions 524 to 776 of the family's 1533-position model. The record is from RNAcentral.